AGUGAACGCUGGCGGUAGGCCUAACACAUGCAAGUCGAACGGCAGCACAGAGGAGCUUGCUCCUUGGGUGGCGAGUGGCGGACGGGUGAGGAAUACAUCGGAAUCUACUCUGUCGUGAGGGAUAACGUAGGGAAACUUACGCUAAUACCGCAUACGACCUACGGGUGAAAGCAGGGGACCUUCGGGCCUCGCGCGAUUGAAUGAGCCGAUGUCGGAUUAGCUAGUUGGCGGGGUAAAGGCCCACCAAGGCGACGAUCCGUAGCGGGUCUGAGAGGAUGAGCAGCCACACUGGAACUGAGACACGGUCCAGACUCCUACGGGAGGCAGCAGUGGGGAAUAUUGGACAAUGGGCGCAAGCCUGAUCCAGCCAUACCGCGUGGGUGAAGAAGGCCUUCGGGUUGUAAAGCCCUUUUGUUGGGAAAGAAAUCCAGCUGGCUAAUACCCGGUUGGGAUGACGGUACCCAAAGAAUAAGCACCGGCUAACUUCGUGCCAGCCGCCGCAGUAA
RNAcentral lists this ribosomal RNA (506 nucleotides) under uncultured bacterium. RNAcentral describes it as "partial 16S ribosomal RNA". It matches the Rfam family "Bacterial small subunit ribosomal RNA", at positions 29 to 523 of the family's 1533-position model. The record is from RNAcentral.